UUGGUUUUUGUUAGAUACGCAAUAAAGUGCAUAUAGUUUGUCCAUCACUAUUUUAAAAUGAUUGAUAGCUCCCAUCUCUUUUACCACAUUGCCUGGAGCCUGGUUGCUACUUCACUCUUGCGUCCCAGCAUGACAGGCACACCAUCAUACAUUAUUCCAAUGAGCGUUUUGGAUCGAAAGUUCUCAGUCAACUUCACACCCUCUAAUGCAGAUAACAGAUUACGGACUAAUCCCUCUGCAGAUAAAUCAUCCAGUUCUACAAGGUCAAAACAUUUUUUUGCAGGCAGGUGGUUCCUGGCCCCCCUAGCUGAUGCUGACCCCCAUGCCGUCAGAUCUCUACUGGACUCCCGGCGUCGUGGGGGUCGGCUCCAGUAUCUGGUGGACUAGGAGGGGAAUGGCCCAGAGGAGCGGUAAUGAGUUCCGUUGGAGGACAUUCUGGAUCCCAACAUCAUCCGUGAUUUCCACCUUUGCCGUCCAGCUCGGCCCGCUCCUCUGGUUGGUGUCGUCCUGCGGCUAGUGCCGCGCGUCUGGCAUUCGACAUCACCGGUAUACUAUCCACCGGUCCUGGGAUCCAUCAUUACGCACACCUGGCAUCAAUCAUUACGCGCACCUGCACGUCAUCAUUAUUACUUCCCCUAUAUCUGGCACUCCCUUAGGUUCUUUCCCAGUCACUAUUGUUUGUGUUUCAUGUCUAUACUCUAUUCGUGUUUGUUAUAUUGUUUGAUGUUCCGUUUAAUAUUAAACUCACCACCUGCACUUGC
This is a non-coding RNA of Salmo salar (Atlantic salmon), 761 nucleotides long. The record is from RefSeq and is a predicted model, not a curated record. Lineage: Eukaryota; Metazoa; Chordata; Actinopteri; Salmoniformes; Salmonidae.